RNAcentral lists this unclassified non-coding RNA (382 nucleotides) under Hevea brasiliensis (rubber tree). The record is from RNAcentral. Lineage: Eukaryota; Viridiplantae; Streptophyta; Magnoliopsida; Malpighiales; Euphorbiaceae.
GGAACACAAGAAGUGGGCUAUGGGACCCAAGCUCAACAAACAAAAUCCAAUUCCAGUACAAGAGCCCAGUCUACUGGAUGGAAGACUCUAGAAACCUUCACUGGGAGCCAAUUUCAAAACCUGUUUUCACCGCAGAGCAUGGCUGGUAGACAUAGAGGAAGCACCCACAACACUAAUCCAAUAUCUCCAGCAUCGCAGCGCAAUAGAAACAGAAAAAAGGACUUCCAAUUGAGGUUUGAAGUACAACUUCUUUUAAUUUCUCGUAUGCUAGUUCUCUGUUUUGGGAUGAAUUCGAGCUCUUUGUUAUCUGUUCUUCACUGUGAUAUAUUUUCAUAUAUAUUAAAAAUUUUUAUUUUUAUUUAAAAUAAAUCGUUUUUCUAAA